Molecule: ribosomal RNA, 254 nt
Filed under: uncultured bacterium
Lineage: Bacteria
Description: partial 16S ribosomal RNA
Rfam family: Bacterial small subunit ribosomal RNA
Source: RNAcentral
UACGUAGGGGCCUAGCGUUGUCCGGAAUUAUUGGGCGUAAGGAGCUCGUAGGCGGUUCGGCAAGUCGGAUGUGAAAUCUCCACGCUCAACGUGGAGGGGCCAUUCGAAACUGCCGUGACUCGAGUCCGGUAGGGGAGUGUGGAAUUCCCGGUGUAGCGGUGAAAUGCGCAGAUAUCAGGAGGAACACCAAUGGCGAAGGCAGCACUCUGGGACGUGACUGACGCUGAGACGCGAAAGCGUGGGGAGCAAACAGG